CAAUAGCGUAUAUUAAAGUUGUUGCAGUUAAAAAGCUCGUAGUUGGAUUUCUGGGCUGGCCGGACGGUCCACCUCACGGUGAGAACUGGCUGGUCGGCCCUUCCUCUCGAAGUGUUGCGGUGUUCUUAACUGAGUGCUGUGGCAAUUCGGGACCUUUACUUUGAAAAAUUAGAGUGUUCAAAGCAGGCCUUCGCUUGAAUACAUUAGCAUGGAAUAAUGGAAUAGGACUUUGGUUCUAUUUUGUUGGUUUCUAGGACCGAAGUAAUGAUUAAUAGGGACAGUUGGGGGCAUUAGUAUUUAAUUGUCAGAGGUGAAAUUCUUGGAUUUAUGAAAGACUAACUACUGCGAAAGCAUUUGCCAAGGAUGUUUUCAUUAAUCAAGAACGAAAGUUAGGGGAUCGAAGACGAUCAGAUACCAU
RNAcentral lists this ribosomal RNA (418 nucleotides) under uncultured eukaryote. RNAcentral's name for it is "SSU rRNA". It matches the Rfam family "Eukaryotic small subunit ribosomal RNA", at positions 592 to 1018 of the family's 1831-position model. The record is from RNAcentral.